AUACGGAGGGUGCGAGCGUUGUUCGGAAUUAUUGGGCGUAAAGCGCGUGUAGGCGGUCUUUUAAGUCUGAUGUGAAAGCCCCGGGCUCAACCCGGGAAGUGCAUUGGAUACUGGGAGACUUGAAUACGGGAGAGGGCAGUGGAAUUCCUGGUGUAGGAGUGAAAUCCGUAGAUAUCAGGAGGAACACCGGUGGCGAAGGCGGCUGCCUGGACCGAUAUUGACGCUGAGACGCGAAAGCGUGGGUAGC
RNAcentral lists this ribosomal RNA (247 nucleotides) under uncultured bacterium. RNAcentral describes it as "partial 16S ribosomal RNA". It matches the Rfam family "Bacterial small subunit ribosomal RNA", at positions 523 to 769 of the family's 1533-position model. The record is from RNAcentral.